CCGUAGUUAUAGACUGUAUGGUUAGAGGGCAAUCCAGUUUGUGUAUUGUGUUUAUUGUAUUGUGAGCAUUCAAUAGAUAAAACUAGAAAGAGCGUGACCUUUUUAUGACAACUUUAGAAACCAGGGGUUAAAAGAGACAUUACAAACUGAAGUUUUUGAGAGGAAACCUCAAGAGUAUACUGGGAAGCCAUGGUGGAACAAGUAGAGAGGAAGCCUCAGAAGGAAGGAGCAAUGGUUGAACCACUUGACAUUGUUGCCUACUACAGGGAGGGUGUAAGAAACAACAUAACCGAGGGAAGAUCUGAACGUUAAACGUUGUCCAAUUAUUAUAAAUGUCUUAUACAUUACGUGUGAAAAUACCAAAAAAAAUUAUAUUCAACAUUUAUGUUUGUAUACAAGCAAUAUUUUGGAUAGUUUGAUAUAAAAAACAAAUGAAGAAAAUGAAGAAAAACAUACAAAUAUAUUUACAAUGGACAAACUUAUACAAUUAGUAUAAAUGUCUUGUAUAUUUAGUACAAAUGUCUCGUACUUUGUAAAAAUAUAAAAAUAUAGUAUUUGACUUUUAUAUAUGUGUGAAAAUGUAAAAAGAAAAAGAAAAAUAGUUAGAGCAUUUGGUACCGUGAGUGAUGACUUCACCUAAAGAAAGGUUAAUGAAUAUUAUGGUCUCGAUGGAAGAGCGACUCCGGUAAAAUAUAUGGAUUAAAUUGAUGCUUUUCUUUUGACGAUGAAGUAGUUGAGUUAUGAAUACGAGGUUUUGCUAACAGCAUUGAAGGCAAGGAUUCCCUAAUAUACUCCAAUUCAUAUUCAAUUUGUAGACCUUCAACUAACUACUCUUGCUAACGAGCAUAUCCAAGUCAAUACAUAAGAUUAAUUAAGAUUAAGUAUUACGUAUGAUAAUUGAAACCCUAUUUAAAUAAAUAAUGACACAUAUAUAAAAAAUAUAUAUAUUUUUAAAAAAAUAAAUAACAAUUUAGAGAAUUUCAUAACUUAGCAUCAAACCUAUUGUAAGAAAGAGUAUUAUACAAUGUAGGGUUUAGGAUCCAAGUCAACCUAAGAUCAAAUUUAAGUUUUAAGAUCAAUUCACAUUCAAAACUAAGGUUUUAAGUUUCAAAAAUAUAUUUCUUAAACCAAUUAAAUGGAAAAAAGAAAAUUACAAAGAAAAUUUCUCCCUCAUCAGUUUCUUUUAUCUUGAAAACUAAAGGAAAUAUAUAUCAAUAUUUGAGAUGGAAAUUCAUAAUCUUAGGUGGUGUUUGUUUUUUUGGCUUUUUGCUGAAAACUAUUUAGUUUUAGAAUUUAGGUUUUUUUUUUUUUUUACUUUUUCAUGACUUAUAAUAAACUUUUUACUAAAUAGAAAAAACCAAAAUAUGUGGUUUUUUCUAAAUAGAAAAAAUAACACAAUGGUUUUUUUUACUUUUUAAUACUUAAUAGAAAUAAAAUACUACAAAAACAAACAUCUUAAUAUUUAAUACUAUUAAGUAUUAAGGUUCUAUUUAGAAUUAAGUAAAAAAACAAACACCACCUUAGAAACACAAAGAACAAAGAGAGUAUGAAGAGACCAUACCAUGAGAGAUUUUCCGAAAGGUUGGUAAACCAUGGUAAUCACCUUUGAGUCUUGCUGAGAAAAACAAACCUUAUUUAUUUUUAUUUUUUUAUCAUUUUUUCUCUUGUGUGGUGUACAUUUAAGAAAAACAAAUCUCAAAAAAAAAAAAAAACACAAACCAAAUAAUGCCAGAAUUUGGGUUGAGAAACACCCAAAAGAUAGUGGCCCAAUACAUGUGCCUAAGAAAAUCUUCAUGAGCCGAUAAACAUAGUCACAAAACUAGUAACAGCCUUGUAGCCAUAGUUGGUGUAGUAUGAGCAAGUGGGGUAUGAAGUAGGUAGGUGAGUAUUGCAAUGAAAUUUCCAGCACUGCUUCCUGAAUUAAGAAAUCACAUACCCAAGUCUUAGUCGUCGUCGUCGUCGUACCGUGUGAGAACCGGGAAGAAUCUUUGCUCGUAGACUGGCUUUUGUAGUCUUUCUUUAACAAUUACAAGUUAUCUGAAUUCCCUUCAUCCUCCUAUAUAAUAUUGUUUUGGUCUUGUUCUUGUUGCAUUGUGGCUAGGCAUCUCCAUGGAAGGAAGGAGGAUGAAUCAAGUUCCUUUGUAUGAAUCAAUUUCUCUGCUCUUUUUUUUUUUCAAUCCUUGAAUCGAAUCAUUGCUUAGUUCUUGCUUUAAUUUCUCCAUUUUCUGUUGGGUCUUUGAUUGCAGGUUUAGCUCUGCAAGAGAACUGGGAAAUUUAAUUGUGACCUCCAAUCUAAUCGACUCUGCUUUGACUAAAAUUCUUGAGCUUCAAAGAGACCAAACAGCCUUGCUUUCCCCCGUUCAAUACAGAGUUUUUUUAUCCAUCUCCCAACUGCACAAUUGUAGCUUUUGUCUCUUCACCUGACUGCACUCAAAACCCUCUUCCUGGACAAGGAGAUUUAGUUCCCUCUCCUCUCUUUGACUUCCUCUGCACCGAAGAAUACAAGUCCGUCUCCAUUAACAGAGCUGCAUUAACCCUCUUUACCUCUCUCCACGAUCAUCUCUCUGGACUAAAAACUCAGGUCAAAAUAUGAUAGUUGUUUUUAUUUUCGUUUCCUUUUUGUUAACAAUUGUGAGACAUGAAACAGCUUGACCAUGAGAUCUCUCUCAUAGAGUCAAACUACCUGAAGAAGAAGAAGACGUUACACAUAUCCAUCUGCGUUGCAUCAUCGCAUUACCCAUUGAUCGGUUGUGAUUCAACUCUUAAUAGGAAGACAGUAGAACUGGUGUUGGUAUCUGUUUUUAGAUCAGCUUAUAUGUAUCUUGUUGCUAAAAAGGGAAUGUUUAGAAGUGAGAUUAAUGGGAUUAUUCUGACAUGGAUUUCAUAUGGUUACCUGUUUUGCAGUUGACUGUGAUUGAAGGUCAAUUAAUCAUCACUGGGCACUCCCUGGGAGGAGCCGUUGCUUCUCUCUUCACCUUAUGCCUGCUAGAUGAAAAUUUAUUAAAACCCAAAUGCCGCCCCUUUUGUAUCACCUUUGGUUCACCCCUCGUCGGCGGCUUUGGCCUCCAACACUCCAUAUGGAAUUCUUUCUUCCUGCAUGUAGUGUCUAACCAAGACCCAGUCCCCGGUCUCUUCCUCCCAUCUGGCAGAGGCAGAUCUACGCCCACAUCCUCCCAUUCACAAACUACCGGUUACAAGCCCUUUGGGACAUAUCUCUUGUGCUCUGAACUUGGUUGUGCUUGUUUUGACAACCCUGAUUUAAUUUUGGAAUUGCUGAAAGUCAUAUCAUCAGAGGUUGCCGGAGGAUUGCAGGAUGUUGAUUAUGGGGAGAUUUUAAGAAACCUCAAGGAGAGGGCAAUCUGCAAGGGACUUCCGCAGGUGGGUGAAAGGUUUGCAAAUCCAUUUUCAGCUGGGAUCAUCAUGGAACUUGAGACAAUUGGAUUUAAUCAAACAAAGGUAAACAGCUUUCUCCCAUCUAAUGAUGUUAUGGAACAUGGUUUACACCUCAUUAAAUACUGCAACAACUGCCCUAUUUAGAUUUACCUUCUUGUUCUUUGGGAUUUUCCAUAACUAGACUCAUUUUUUAAUUUCAUGGCAGCUGCUGCAGCAUAACAUUGAUAUCGAGACUGUGAUAAGCGCAAUGGAAGCGGAAGCAAGAAACCUAACCCAGAAAAAUAAAGCUUCCGAUGCCAAGAAACUGAAUGAAAUAAAAAUAGACAUGACCCGGCUAGAAUUGUAUAAGAAGAAUUCGAACAUGGGUUACUACGAUUGCUUCAAAAACCAGGGGUCUAAAAGGGACAUCCACGUUGAACAGUUUAGGGUAAACCUCACAGGGUACUGGGAAGGCAUGGUUGCACAAAUACAGAGGAAGCCUCAUAAGGAAGGAGCAACAUUUCGAACCCGUUGGCUCUAUGCAGGGACGGUUUAUAGAAGAAUGGUUGAACCACUGGACAUUGCUGCCUUCUACAGAGAGGGUAGAAAAGACUACAUGAAUAAAAGAUCUGCACAUUACAAGCUGUUGCAGGAAUGGUAUGAGGAAGAUGUGAAACCCCCCUCUAGAGAUAAGCUUGAUUCCAAGAAGCAAAAGGUGUCCAGUAUCCUAACUGAGGAUUCUUGCUUUUGGGCACAUGUGGAGGAGGCUAUCUUGUCAUGCGAAUUGCUCAAGAGUGAAAACUGUAAUCUUGAGGAGGGAAAAUCAUCAUGGGAUAAUCUGGUUAAGUUCGAGGAGUAUGUAAUGGAACAGAUUGACAACUAUGCAGUGUCCCCUGAGAUUUUCUUGGAGAAAAGCAGCUUCAUGAAAUGGAGGGGACUGUAUGAGGGCUACAUAGAUACUCGCAGUAAUUCCCAUAGCUCGCCAUUGAUCAGCUUUAUGAAGAAUCGUAGUUAUAGACAAUAUGGAUAGAGGGGUAAUCCAGUUUGUGUGUUGUGUGUAUUGUUUUGUGAGCAUUCAAUGGAUAGAACUAGAAAGAGUGUGACCUUUUCCUUUUUUUUUUCAGUUGCUGCCCAUAUUCUCAGCACUAUUUUCUUCCUUCUUUUCCUCAGUUUUUUUGUUAAGAAAUGAAUAUUAUGAUGUUGCCGGGAUGCACUUUCAUUUUUGUUCCAUUACAUUGUGUUUUAUUCAUAUCCUAAACAAAUAAAUGUAAACAAGAAAAUCAAAUGAGACUUCAAAGAGUCUGUUCCUUUUAAAGCAAGGGAAAAAAAGGACAUGUUUGUUUACUUCCACAGCUGGGUAGAUUCAACUCCACCAAAAUUGGCAACAACUUCCCAUUGAAAAAUUCCUUUUAAGCUUGAAUGACAUAAAACUAGAUAUGUUCCAGCUAGAAUGGUACAAGAAAGAAAUCAAAAGAUGAGCACAAUGGGUUAUUAUGACAGCUUUAGAAACCUGGGGUGUAAAAGAGACAUUAAAAUGGAACCGAGGGGAAGACAUUGUAGAACAAGUAAAGAGGAAGCCUCACCAGGAAGGGCAGCUUUGCAAACCCUCUGGCUCUGUACAGGAACGAAUUAUAGAAAGAUGGUUGAACCACUUGACAUUGCUGCCUACCACAGAGAGGGUGGAAGAAACUACAUAACCAAUGGAGGAUGUAAACAUUACACGCUAUUAGAGCAAUGAUGCAAUGAAGAGAAGGGGACUUUGUCUUCCAAUAAUUUAAGAAAAUAAAACCAAAUAAUGCCAGAAUUUGGGUUGAGAAACACCCAAAAGAUAGUGGCCCAAUAUGAAGUAGUCACAAAACUAGUAACAGCCUUGUGGCCAUAGUUGGUGUAGUAUGAGCAAGUGGGGUAUGAAGUAGGUAGGUGAGUAUUGCAAUGAAAUUUCCAGCACUGCUUCCUGAAUUAAGAAAUCACAUACUCAAGUCUUAAUCGUUGUCAUCAUACCGUGUGAGAACCGAGGAAGAAUCUUUGCUCUUAGACUGGAUUUUGUAGUCUUUCUUUAACAAUUACAAGUUAUCUGAAUUCCCUUCAUCCUCCUAUAUAAUAUUGUUUUUGGUCUUGUUCUUGUUGCAUUGUGGCUAGGCAUCUCCAUGGGAGGAAGGAGGAUGAAUCAAGUUCCUUUGUAUGAAUCAAUUUCUCUGCUCUUUUUUUUUUCAAUCCUUGAAUCGAAUCAUUGCUUAGUUCUUGCUUUAAUUUCUCCAUUUUCUGUUGGGUCUUUGAUUGCAGGUUUAGCUCUGCAAGAAAACUGGGAAAUUUAAUUGUGACCUCCAAUCUAAUCGACUCUGCUUUGACUAAAAUUCUUGAGCUUCAAAGAGACCAAACAGCCUUGCCUUCCCCCGUUCAAUACAGAGUUUUUUAUCCAUCUCCCAACUGCACAAUUGUAGCUUUUGUCUCUUCACCUGACUGCACUCAAAACCCUCUUCCUGGACAAGGAGAUUUAGUUCCCUCUCCUCUCUUUGACUUCCUCUGCACCGAAGAAUACAAGUCCGUCUCCAUUAACAGAGCUGCAUUAACCCUCUUUACCUCUCUCCACGAUCAUCUCUCUGGACUAAAAACUCAGGUCAAAAUAUGAUAGUUGUUUUUAUUUUCGUUUCCUUUUUGUUAACAAUUGGGAGACAUGAAACAGCUUGACCAUGAGAUCUCUCUCAUAGAGUCAAACUACCUGAAGAAGAAGAAGACGUUACACAUAUCCAUCUGCGCUGCAUCAUCGCAUUACCCAUUGAUCGGUUGUGAUUCAACUCUUAAUAGGAAGACAGUAGAACUGGUGUUGGUAUCUGUUUUUAGAUCAGCUUAUAUGUAUCUUGUUGCUAAAAAGGGAAUGUUUAGAAGUGAGAUUAAUGGGAUUAUUCUGACAUGGAUUUCAUAUGGUUACCUGUUUUGCAGUUGACUGUGAUUGAAGGUCGAUUAAUCAUUACUGGGUACUCGAUGGGAGGAUCCGUUGCUUCUCUCUUCACCUUAUGCCUGUUAGAAGUCAUCAAUUUAUCAAAACCCAAAUGCCGCCCCAUUUGUAUCACCUUUGGUUCACCCCUCAUAGGCGACUUUGGCCUCCAACACUCCAAUUGGAAUUCUUUCUUCUUGCAUGUAGUGUCCAACCAAGAUCUAGUCCCCGGACUCUUCCUCCCAUCCGACAGAUCUCCUCCCACAUCCUCCCAUUCACAAACUACUGGUUACAAGCCCUUUGGGACAUAUCUCUUGUGCUCUGAACUUGGUUGUGCUUGUUUUGACAACUCUGAUUUAAUUUUGGAAUUGCUGAAAGUCAUAUCAUCAGAGGUUGCCAGAGGAUUGCGGGAUGUUGAUUACAGGAAGAUUUUAAGAAACCUCAAGGAGAGGGCAAUCUGCAAGGGACUUCCGCAGGUGGGUGAAAGGUUUGCAAAUCCAUUUUCAGCUGGGAUCAUCAUGGAACUUGAGACGAUUGGAUUUAAUGAAACAAAGGUAAACAGCUUUCUCCCAUCUACUGAUGUUAUGGAACAUGGUUUACACAUCAUUAAAUACUGCAACAACUGCCCUAUUUAGAUUUAGGGCAAUGAUGAAAAUAUCAGUAAUCACGGAUAUAUCAGUAUUUCGAUUUUACGGAUAUAUCGGAUAUAUCGGAGAUAUAUCGGUAGAUAUUUUGAAAAAAAAUAUCGGCAAGCUUAAAAUUGUUAAAAACUCAUGAAAAUAUAAGAAAAUCUCAUAAUAAUAUAAUUAAAAGUAUAAUAGACAUUUUAAAGUUAUUUUAUUGAAAAUUUUGAUAUAUGUAUAACAUGAUUUAUCAUAUUUGAUAAUAAUAUCGUAUGCGUCGAUAAAAAUAUGAAUUUUAUAAGUGUACAUUUAUUAUUAAAUUACACCUAAUAUUAUGAUAUCUGAUUAUAAUAUGUCUAAUUUUAAAAUAUAUAUUAGUAUUAAAAUAUGAUCCAUUUAAUUCAAUUGUAUUAAACAAUAUAAAAUAAAUAAUGAUAUAUAUAUAUAUAUAUAUAAUUUUUUAAUAUUUAAUUAAUUAUUAAUGAUAUUAAAAACAUUAUGAAGAAAAUUAUAUAAUUUUUUAAUUUUUGGUAAUUAAUUAAAAGACUUUGCAUUUAAUUAUAAAUUAAUUAUAAUUAAUUUACUCUUUAAAAUAUUCUUAUAUUUUCUUUAUAUAAUGAAUUUAAGUAUAUAUAUAGUUGUUGCAUAUUAUAUAUUAAAGGACAACUUAGCCCAAGUGGUAAGCGAGUGAACCCCAAUGUGAGGCAUUGUAGCACGUGCACUGUAGCAUCACUGUAGCGACUCUGACUUUCGUUGACCCGCAUUGACUACACGAUAUAUCGGAGAAAAAUCACUGAUUUAUCGCCAAAUCACCAAUAAAUCGCCGAUUUCUCGCGAUAAAUACCAAAAUAUAGUGUCGAAACCCUUCGAUACACGAUUUUUCGGCGCAUUUUCUUACUUGGAUUUACCUUUUUGUUCUUUGGGAUCUUCCAUGACUCAUUUUUUAAUGCCAUUUUAUUUUCCUUUUUGUUUCUAAAUUUUUAAAAAAUCGUUUUCACUUCUUUUUUUUAAGAAAAUUUUGGCAAAUUUUGAAAAUAUAAUAUUAGUGUUUUCACUUCUUUCUUUUUUUUUUUUUUCUUUUUUUUUUUAAACUCAAUUUUCUAAAAAAUGAAAAUAGAAAAACAUUGUCUAAACAUGUUUGUAAACUUAAUUUUAUUUUUUUAUAAAUGAAAAAAAAAAUCUAAAUGAGUAAGGCUUUAUUAAUUUUAAUUUUUUUCUUUUCCUUAUAUUUUCUUAUUUUAUUCCAAAUUUUCUUGCAACCAAACAUAAUCUAAAUGUUUACAACUUUUAUUGUAAGGAAUGAAUGACACUACUUUGUGAACUUUUAUGAUAAUAUUUUGAAUCAUAAAUUGUGUUUUUUUUAGUAAUAUCAAUUUUAUUACCAAUGACUUAAUUGUUAAUAACAAAAUAUAAUAUUUAUAAAUAUUUUUAUUCUCAACAGGCUACAAUUUUUACUCUUGUGAUAAAAAAAAUUUUGUCAUAAAUUACACAUUAUGAUGAGUUUUUCUAUUUUCCUUAUCAGCCAAUUCAACAAAUAUCAUAUAUAUUGUAAUGGCUAACAAAUUUUCACAUAAAUUUUUUAUAAGAUAAAGUAGAAUGGAAUUAUUCAAUUUCAAAAAAAAAAAAAAUGGUACCUAAUGAAAAAGAUAAAAUAUAUAGAUCAUCUCGAAGAAAUCAGGAAAGAUAAAUGAUGAGACCAUAUAUAGGACCCUUGAUGGAGACUAUUUUAAUUGAAGUGGUGUGCUCCUUCCGACUCAGAACAUGUUCAGCAUUGCACACAAACUAACAUCGUCGAUCUUGAGUAUGAAAAAGGUGAUUAGAUUCCAAGGUUGUCGUUUGUCCCAACUCCUCAUAUUAGAGGUGAUGCUCAAGCUAACGUGCCUCGCAGUUGAGCCCCGGCCAAUCGGUCUAAUAUGCUUUUCCAAUGGUGAGUUUCACUGCCACCAUGUAUUACAUUAAUUCCGAUAGCGCACAAGUUGUGUUUGUGCUAUUGCUUUUUGCCCUCACAAACAUAUACACAAGAGACAUUCAGACCAGAUCUGUUCUACCAUCCUCUAGGAAAGCAUUGUAGGUCAUUUGAAAUUGGGAUUUCAGCACCAGAGUCAAAUUGCCUUCCUUCCUGAAAGAUGAGCAUUUUUUAUACUCUUACAUCGGCUUUUAUGGAAAUGAAAUCAGCUUCUCAUUCUGUUACAUUUUUCAAUUUUGCUGCCUAUAACUGCUCACUGCCUGUUUGUGAGACAUUAUCCAGAUUUUCCCUGAUCAAUUAUAGAGAGGUCAUUGGACUCAUCCAUGAUUGGAAUUUCCUGUUAUCAUUAUUUGCAAAUCAUCAACCAUUUGUCAUGAUAUCUUAAGUUAAGCUGAGCACGAAUUUCAGCUAAGAUCCUCAGAACUAGAAAUAUGCACUGCAGGUAUUACUUGAUAUGUGAAUAUCCAAUACAAUAUUUUUUUACUAAGAGGAAUACGAAUUUGAAACACUUUCCAAUAAUUUAUCAAGUCAUAUUUUCGUGCUGUCGUGAUACAUGUGUCUACUGUAUGCAUGGCUUUUCUUUUCUACACAUGCCUUUAUCUUUGCACAUGACUCUUUUGAUACACGCCAGCAUCAAGGCAAUUGCCUAAAUCUAAAUCACAUCCUUUGUGUCACGUCUUCCUUGUUACCACGGUCCUCUUGUACACCAUGGUCCCUUAAUGUAACUUGUGCCACAAGCCCUUUGUGCAUGAAUUCAAAUUGUUCAAUCAUUUCGCCAUUUACACCUUUUAAGGUCCAAUAAGCGUAUACAAGAGACUACACUCAUUCUAGAUGAUAAAGUACAUUCAACUAACUACUCUUGCUAAUGAGCAUAUCCAAGUCAAUACAUAAGAUUAAUUAUUACAUAUGGUAAUUGAAACCCUGUUUAAAUAAAUAGUGACACAAAUAUAAAAAAUAUAUAUAUUUAAAAAUAAAUAAAUAACAAUUUAGAGAAUUUCAUAACUUAGUAUCAAACCUAUUGUAGGAAAGAGUAUUAUACAAUGUAGGGUUUAGGAUCAAAGUUAACCUAAGAUCAAUUUUAAGUUUUAAGACCAAUUCAAAUUCAAAACUAAGGUUUUAAGUUUCAAAAAUAUAUCUCUUAAACCAAUUAAAUAGAAAAAAGAAAAUUACAAAGAAAAUUUCUUCCUCAUCGGUUUCUUUUAUCUUGAAAACUAAAGGAAAUAUAUAUCAAUAUUUGAGAUGGAAAUUCAUAAUCUUAGAAACACAAAGAACAAAGAGAGUAUGAAGAGACCAUACCAUGAGAGAUUUUCCAAAAGGUUGGUAAACCAUGGUAAUCACCUUUGAGUUUUGCUGAGAAAAACAAACCUUAAUUUUUAUUUUUAUUUUUUUAUCAUUUUUUCUCUUGUGGUGUACAUUUAAGAAAAACAAAUCUUAAAAAAAAAAAAAAAAAAACCAAAUAAUGCCAGAAUUUGGGUUGAGAAACACCCAAAAGAUAGUGGCCCAAUACAUGUGCCUAAGAAAAUCUUCAUGAGCCGAUAAACAUAGUCACAAAACUAGUAACAGCCUUGUAGCCAUAGUUGGUGUAGUAUGAGCAAGUGGGGUAUGAAGUAGGUAGGUGAGUAUUGCAAUGAAAUUUCCAGCACUGCUUCCUGAAUUAAGAAAUCACAUACCCAAGUCUUAGUCGUCGUCGUCGUACCGUGUGAGAACCGGGAAGAAUCUUUGCUCGUAGAGUGGCUUUUGUAGUCUUUCUUUAACAAUUACAAGUUAUCUGAAUUCCCUUCAUCCUCCUAUAUAAUAUUGUUUUUGGUCUUGUUCUUGUUGCAUUGUGGCUAGGCAUCUCCAUGGAAGGAAGGAGGAUGAAUCAAGUUCCUUUGUAUGAAUCAAUUUCUCUGCUCUUUUUCUUUUCAAUCCGUGAAUCGAAUCAUUGCUUAGUUCUUGCUUUAAUUUCUCCAUUUUCUGUUGGGUCUUUGACUGCAGGUUUAGCUCUGCAAGAGAACUGGGAAAUUUAAUGGUGACCUCCAAUCUAAUCGACUCUGCUUUGACUAAAAUUCUUGAGCUUCAAAGAGACCAAACAGCCUUGCUUUCCUCCGUUCAAUACAGAGUUUUUUAUCCAUCUCCCAAGUGCACAAUUGUAGCUUUUGUCUCUUCACCUGACUGCACUCAAAACCCUCUUCCUGGACAAGGAGAUUUAGUUCCGUCUCCUCUCUUUGACUUCCUCUGCACCGAAGAAUACAAGUCCGUCUCCAUUAACAGAGCUGCAUUAACCCUCUUUACCUCUUUCCACGAUCAUCUCUCUGGACUAAAAACUCAGGUCAAAAUAUGAUAGUUGUUUUUAUUUUCGUUUCCUUUUUGUUAACAAUUGUGAGACAUGAAACAGCUUGACCAUGAGAUCUCUCUCAUAGAGUCAAACUACCUGAAGAAGAAGAAGACGUUACACAUAUCCAUCUGCGUUGCAUCAUCGCAUUACCCAUUGAUCGGUUGUGAUUCAACUCUUAAUAGGAAGACAGUAGAACUGGUGUUGGUAUCUGUUUUUAGAUCAGCUUAUAUGUAUCUUGUUUCUAAAAAAGGUAAGUUUAGAAGUGAGAUUAAUGGGAUUAUUCUGACAUGGAUUCCAUAUGGUUACCUGUUUUGCAGUUGACUCAGAUUGAAGGUCAAUUAAUCAUCACUGGGCACUCCCUGGGAGGAUCCGUUGCUUCUCUCUUCACCUUAUGCCUGCUAGAUGGAAAUUUAUUAAAACCCAACUGCCGCCCCUUUUGUAUCACCUUUGGUUCACCCCUCAUCGGCGGCUUUGGCCUCCAACACUCCAUAUGGAAUUCUUUCUUCCUGCAUGUAGUGUCUAACCAAGACCCAGUCCCCGGUCUCUUCCUCCCAUCUGGCAGAGGCAGAUCUACGCCCACAUCCUCCCAUUCACAAACUACCGGUUACAAGCCCUUUGGGACAUAUCUCUUGUGCUCUGAACUUGGUUGUGCUUGUUUGGAAAAGCCUGAUUUAAUUUUGGGAUUGCUGAAAGUCAGAUCAUCCGAGGUUGCCGGAGGAUUGCAGGAUGUUGAUUAUGGGGAGAUUUUAAGAAACCUCAAGGAGAGGGCAAUCUGCAAGGGACUUCAGCAGGUGGGUGAAAGGUUUGCAGAUCCUUUUACAGCUGGGAUCAUCAUGGACCUUGAGAUAAUUGGAUUUGAUCAAACAAAGGUAAACAGCUAGCUUUCUCCCAUCUAAUGAUGUUAUGAAACAUGGUUUACACUUCACCAAAUACUGCAACAACUGCCCUAUUUAGAUUUGCCGUCUUGUUCUUUGGGAUCUUCCAUAACUAGACUCAUUUUUUAAUUUCAUGGCAGCUGCUGCAGCAUAACAUUGAUAUCGAGACUGUGAUAAGCACAAUGGAAGAGGAAGCCAGAAACCCAACCAAAAAAAAUAAAGCUUUCGAUGCCAAGAUUCUGAAUCACAAAAAAAAAGACAUGGCCGGGCUAGAAUGGUAUAAGAAGAAAUCAAAAGAUCUGAACAAGGGUUACUACGACUGCUUCAAAAACCAGGGGUCAAAAAGGGACAUUAAAAUUGAACAGUAUGGGGGACACCUCACAUUAUACUGGAAAGACAUGGUUGCACAAGUACAGAGGAAGCCCCAGAAGGAAGGAGCAACAUUUCGAACCCGUUGGCUCUAUGCAGGGACGGUUUAUAGAAGAAUGGUUGAACCACUGGACAUUGCUGCCUUCUACGUAGAGGGUGGAACAGACUACAUGAAGAAUGAAAGAUCUCUUCAUUACAAGCUGUUGCAGCAAUGGUAUGAGGAAGAUGUGAAACCCCCCUCUAAGGAUAAGCUUGAUUCCAAGAAGCAAAAGGUGUCUGGUAUCCUAACUGAGGAUUCUUGCUUUUGGGCACAUGUGGAGGAGGCUAUCUUGUCAUGCGAAUUGCUUAAGAGUGAAAACUGUACUCUUGAGCAGGAAAAAUCAUCAUGGGAUAAUCUGGUUAAGUUCGAGGAGUAUGUAAUGGAACAGAUUAACAACUAUGCAGUGUCCCCUGAGAUUUUCUUGGGGGAAAGCAGCUUCAUGAAAUGGUGGGGACUGUAUGAGGGCUACAUAUAUGCUCGCAGUAAUUCCCAUAGGUCACCAUUGAUCAGCUUUAUGAAGAACGGUAGUUAUACAGAGUAUCGUUAGAGGGGUAAUCCAGUUUGUGUGUUGUGUGUAUUGUUUUGUGAGCAUUCAAUGGAUAGAACUAGAAAGAGUGUGACCUUUUUCCUUUUUUUCUUCUAGUUGCUGCCCAUAUUCUCAGCACUAUUUUCUUCCUUCUUUUCCUCAGUUUUUUCUUAAGAAAUGAAUAUUAUGAUGUUGCUGGGAUGCACUUUCAUUUUUGUUCCAUUACAUUGUGUUUUAUUCAUAUCCUAAACAAAUAAAUGUAAACAAGAAAAUCAAAUAAGACUUCAAAGAGUCUGUUCCUUUUAAAGCAAGGGAAAAAAAGGACAUGUUUGUUUACUUCCACAGCUGGGUAGAUUCAACUCCACCAAAAUUGGCAACAACUUCCCAUUGAAAAAUUCCUUCUAAGCUUGAAUGACAUAAAACUAGAUAUGUUCCAGCUAGAAUGGUACAAAAAAGAAAUCAAAAGAUGAGCACAAUGGGUUAUUAUGACAGCUUUAGAAACCAUCUUACAACACAUCCAUCAGAAUUUAGACUAUUCAUAGAAACAUUCUUAACAUGUAAAUCUACUAUUGCCAUGCACGUCAACAUAGAAUUUCUAAAAUGAUUGAAUAAAAUAAAUAAAACAAAAGAAACCCUUCCAAGAGAAUUUCAUAAUCUAAUGUCAAAUCUAUUACGAAGAUGAACAUGUAAAAUUUAAGGUUUAUAAUCAAAGUCGACUUGAAUCUGAGUUUUAAAACCAAUUUGCAGUUUUUAAGUUUGGAGACUAGAUCUCUUAAACCAAUUAAAUGUAAAAAACUAAAAAGAAAACUUCUUCAAAUUUUGAAAUGAGAAUGAGAAUGCAAUUCCUAACUAGUUUCUUCAUCAAAAAUCCCGAAAAAAAAAAAAAAAGAAGAGAGAGAGAGACCAUAGACGCCAGUGUUUGGGUUUAGAACCACCCAAGAGAGAGUAGUCCAAUAUAUGGGCUUAAGAAAAUCCUCAUGGGCCUAAGCUAAGACUAGGAACAAUCUUGUAUCCGUGGUUGGUUUAGUAUGAGCAUGUGUACUGCGAAGGAAGUAGCUGAGAAUUGCAAUGGAAUUUCCAGUACUGCUUCCUGAACGAACAAAUCGCAUACCCAAGAUUUGGUCGUCAACGCCAUGCUGGGUGAGAACCGGGGAAGCAUCUUCGCUCGUUGACGAGCUUUUGUAGUCCUUCUUUAACAAUUAUAAGGCAUCUGAAUUCCCUUCAUCCUCCCACACCAUUGUUUUUGGUCUUGUUCUUGUUGCUUUGUGACUACGCAUCUCCAUGGAAGGAAGGAGGAUGAACCAAGUUCCUUUGUAUGCAUCAAUUUUACUGUUUUUUUUUUCCUUUUUAAUCUUUGGAUCGAAUCAUUGCUUAGUUCUUGCUUAAUUUCUCCAUUUUAUGUUGGGUCUUUGAUUGCAGGUUUAGCUCUGCGCGAGAACUGGGAAAUUUAAUUGUGACCUCCAAUCUAAUCGACUCUGCUUUGACUAAAAUUCUUGAGCUUCAAAGAGACCAAACAGCCUUGCCUUCCCCCGUUCAAUACAGAGUUUUUUAUCCAUCUCCCAAGUGCACAAUUGUAGCUUUUGUCUCUUCACCUGACUGCACUCAAAACCCUCUUCCUGGACAAGGAGAUUUAGUUCCCUCUCCUCUCUUUGACUUCCUCUGCACCGAAGAAUACCCUUCCGUCUCCAUUAACGGAGCCGCAUUAACCCUCUUUACCUCUCUCUACGAUCAUCUCUCUGGACUAAUAGAUGAGGUCAAAAUCUGAUACUUGUUUUAAUUUACGUUAACUUUUCGUUAACAAUUGUGAGACACGUAUAUAUAUAUAUAUAUAUAUAUAUCUUGUGGAUAAAAGGAAAGUUUACAAGUGAGAAUAGUGGCAUUUUUCUGACAGAUUUCACACCGUUGCUUGUUUUGCACUUGACUGUGAUUGAAGGUCGAUUAAUCAUCACUGGGCACUCGAUGGGAGGAUCCGUUGCUUCUCUCUUCACCUUAUGCCUGCUAGAAGUCAUUAAUAUAUCAAAACCCAAAUGCCGCCCCAUUUGCAUCACAUUUGGUUCACCCCUCAUAGGCGACUUUGGCUUCCAACACUCCAAUUGGAAUUCUUUCUUCUUGCAUGUAGUGUCCAACCAAGAUCUAGUCCCCGGACUCUUCCUCCCAUCCGGCAGAUCUCCUCCCACAUCCUCCCAUUCACAAACUACUGGUUACAAGCCCUUUGGGACAUAUCUCUUGUGCUCUGAACUUGGUUGUGCUUGUUUUGACAACCCUGAUUUAAUUUUGGAAUUGCUGAAAGUCAUAUCAUCAGAGGUUGCCGGAGGAUUGCGGGAUGUUGAUUACAGGAAGAUUUUAAUAAACCUCAAGGAGAGGGCAAUCUUCAAGGGACUUCAGCAGGUGGGUGAAAGGUUUGCAGAUCCCUUGUCAGCUGGGAUCAUCAUGGACCUUGAGAUAAUUGGAUUUGAUCAAACAAAGGUAAACAGCUUUCUCCCAAUUAAUGAUGUAGCAUGGUUUACACUCAACUUCACCAAAACCUGCAACAACUGCCCUAUUUAGAUUUGCCUUCCGGUUCUUUGGGUUCUUCUAUAACUUCUCAUUUUUUAAAUCCAUGGCAGCUGUUGCGGCACAACAUUGAUAUCAACACUGUGAUAAGGAUACUGGGAGCGGAAGCCAGAAUCCUAGCCCACAAAAAUAAAGCUUCUGAUGCCAAGAAACUGAAUGACAUAAAAAUACACAUGGCCCAGCUAGAAUGGUAUAAGAAGAAAUCAAAAGAUCUGAACAAGGGUUACUACGACUGCUUCAAAAACCAGGGGUUAAAAAGGGACAUUAAAAUUGAACAGUAUAGGGGACACCUCACAAUAUACUGGAAAGACAUGGUUGCACAAGUACAGAGGAAGCCCCAGAAGGAAGGAGCAUCAUUUCGAACCAGUUGGCUCUAUCCAGGGACAACUUAUAGAAGAAUGGUUGAACCACUGGACAUUGCUGCCUUCUACAGAGAGGGUAGAACAGACUACAUAAACAAUGGAAGAUCUCCUCAUUACAAGCUGUUGCAGCAAUGGUAUGAGGAAGAUGUGAAGCCCCCAUCCAGAGAUAAGCUCGAUUCCAAGAAACUAAAGGUGUCUGGUAUCCUAACUGAGGAUUCUUUGUUUUGGGCACAUGUGGAGGAGGCUCUCUUGUCAUGCGAAUCGCUCAAGAGUGCAAACUCUACUCUUGAGCAGAGAAAAUCAUCAUGGGAUAAUCUGGUUAAGUUUGGGGAGUAUGUAAUGGAACAGAUUGGAAACUAUGCAGUGUCCCCUGAGAUUUUCUUGGGGGAAAGCAGCUUCAUGAAAUGGUGGGGAGUGUAUGAGGACUACAUAGAUGCUUCCAAUAAUUUCUAUGGGUCACCAUUGAUCAACUUUAUGAAGGACCGUAGUUAUAGACUGUAUGGUUAGAGGGCAAUCCAGUUUGUGUAUUGUGUUUAUUGUAUUGUGAGCAUUCAAUAGAUAAAACUAGAAAGAGCGUGACCUUUUUAUGACAACUUUAGAAACCAGGGGUUAAAAGAGACAUUACAAAUUGAAUUUUUUGAGAGGAAACCUCAAGAGUAUACUGGGAAGCCAUGGUGGAACAAGUAGAGAGGAAGCUUCGGAAGGAAGGAUCAAUGGUUGAACCACUUGACAUUGUUGCCUACUUCAGGGAGGGUGUAAGAAACAACAUAACCGAGGGAAGAUCUGAACAUUAAACAUUGUACAAUUAUUGUAAAUGUCUUAUACAUUACGUGUGAAAAUACCAAAAAAAAUUAUAUUCAACAUUUAUGUUUGUAUACAAGCAAUAUUUUGGAUAGUUUGAUAUAAAAAACAAAUGAAG
Molecule: long non-coding RNA, 16857 nt
Filed under: Vitis vinifera (wine grape)
Lineage: Eukaryota; Viridiplantae; Streptophyta; Magnoliopsida; Vitales; Vitaceae
Description: long non-coding RNA (VVIN_LNC004864)
Source: RNAcentral